CAUAAUAUUCCCUAAGUAACAUUCCCAUCAAGUACAGAGUUUGGUGUGGAAUCAGGUUUCUUCAGAGUUUGGAGAUGGAACCAAUUUUGAGAAACUGAUACCUGCAUUCUGAGAACUGAAGAGGGGAUUGAAUGCUAUAUCUUCAGGGGGAAUUUCAACUGGCGCCGUGGCUCCUGCAGCAUGUGCCAGUGCCAAGAAGAUCCCAAAUGACACAGUGUUCCAGUUGUCUGGAUCAAUAGAGAAGUUCUGCAAGUUUGUCAAAUCAAACCAAUCAUCCCUGAUCGGCUCCAAUGCCAGCAAGCCAGGCUUUGCUGGGGGUGUUGGAACCCAACUGCCUAUCUUGAAAUCUUUCAGUUCCGGAAUCGAACUUCCAAUCCCGGAAUCCAUUUCUCACAGAUUGAAACGGGUAAAAUCUGUUCCUUUCCCCUUUCCUUCCACUCUAUGAUUUCACAACUUUCCCUCAGAUUGUUUGAAAACCUUCAAAUUUGCAACCUGACAGAAACCCAGCUCAAAAUUCAGUUCACCAGAAAAUCUAUCAGACAGAACCCAUAGAAAAUGAAAUGCUGCAACUUCCAAAAAAAAAAAAAAAAAAA
Molecule: long non-coding RNA, 593 nt
Organism: Ipomoea nil (Japanese morning glory)
Lineage: Eukaryota; Viridiplantae; Streptophyta; Magnoliopsida; Solanales; Convolvulaceae
Exons: 3
Source: RefSeq, a predicted model, not a curated record